GAUGAACGCUGACAGAAUGCUUAACACAUGCAAGUCGACCUGAACCUCGGUUUGGGUGGCGGACGGGUGAGUAACGCGUACAGAACUUGCCUCACAGAUAGGGACAACAUUUUGAAACGAAUGCUAAUACCUGAUAUUAUGAUUAUAUGGCAUCGUAUAAUUAUGAAAGCUAUAUGCGCUGUGGGAGAGCUUUGCGUCCCAUUAGCUAGUUGGCGAGGUAACGGCUCACCAAGGCGAUGAUGGGUAGCCGGCCUGGGAGUGUGAUAGGCCACAGGGGGACUGGGACACGGCCCUUACGCCUUCGGGGGGCAUCAGUGGGAAAUUUUGGACGCCGUACCACGUGUCUGAUCAAGCACUUCUGUGUGUACGAUGAAGUUUUUCGGAAUGAAAAGUGCUUUCAGUUGGGAAGAAAAAAAUGACGGUACCAACAGAAGAAGUGCCGGCUAACUACGUG
This 454-nucleotide ribosomal RNA is filed under the name uncultured bacterium. RNAcentral describes it as "partial 16S ribosomal RNA". It matches the Rfam family "Bacterial small subunit ribosomal RNA", at positions 28 to 507 of the family's 1533-position model. The record is from RNAcentral.